CCUACGGGAGGCAGCAGUAAGGAAUAUUGGUCAAUGGGCGCAAGCCUGAACCAGCCAUGCCGCGUGCAGGAAGACGGCCCUAUGGGUUGUAAACUGCUUUUGAACAAGAGAAAACCUCGGUACGUGUACCGAGCUGAUAGUAUUGUUAGAAUAAGCAUCGGCUAACUUCGUGCCAGCAGCCGCGGUAAGACGAAGGAUGCAAGCGUUAUCCGGAUUCAUUGGGUUUAAAGGGUGCGUAGGCGGCCUGAUAAGUCAGUGGUGAAAUCUCUCAGCUUAACUGAGAAACUGCCAUUGAUACUGUCGGGCUUGAGUACAGAUGAUGUGGGCGGAAUAUGACAUGUAGUGGUGAAAUACUUAGAUAUGUCAUAGAACACCGAUUGCGAAGGCAGCUCACAAAACUGUAACUGACGCUGAGGCACGAAAGUGCGGGGAUCAAACAGGAUUAGAUACCCUGGUAGUCCGCACCGUAAACGAUGAUUACUCGUUGUUGGCAAUAUGACCGUCAGCGACCAAGCGAAAGCGAUAAGUAAUCCACCCUGGGGAGUACGCCGGCAACGGUGAAACUCAAAGGAAUUAGACGG
This 581-nucleotide ribosomal RNA is filed under the name uncultured bacterium. RNAcentral describes it as "bacterial SSU rRNA". It matches the Rfam family "Bacterial small subunit ribosomal RNA", at positions 338 to 917 of the family's 1533-position model. The record is from RNAcentral.